GCUACAGUAAACAUUAGUGGACUUUCAUCUAGGAAAACACCCUGCUUAGGUUAAAACUGUGCACUGCUAAAAUUAUUUUCUAUUGCUUUCACAGUCUUUGAAUUUGAUCAUUAACACACUAAACUGGAAUUACGUCCAACACUGCUGGAGAAAGAAGAUUCUCAAAGAUACUGACUUCCCAAAAGUUGUUGGAAAAUAAGGAGCUUGGUAGAAGAGACAAAGUGAGAGAGCAUACACGAAGAUGAAACAGCAGUGCUACAGCAAGAGGUGAACUACCUGACGCGCGACUGGCGGCUGACACUCUGCGCCCUGCAGUCCUCGGAGCUGCUGGAGGUGAACAAGGAGGGCACCAAAGUCUGGCAGCGCGUCCCCGUCCCCGCGUCCCUGCCGAGCAUCCCCCCCAGCA
Molecule: long non-coding RNA, 406 nt
Filed under: Calidris pugnax (ruff)
Lineage: Eukaryota; Metazoa; Chordata; Aves; Charadriiformes; Scolopacidae
Description: lncRNA (ENSCPUG00000002339.1)
Source: RNAcentral